AAGUCGUAACAAGGUUUCCGUAGGUGAACCUGCGGAAGGAUCAUUACCGAUUUUAGCGAACCUGACCUCUUCUGGUCAUGGUCUCGCGAAAAUUUUGUAUUUAAAACCCCACUCUUUUUUGUAAUAAUUUUUAAAUGAAUCAUAUUAUUAUGUAAAUAAAGAUCACUUUCAACAACGGAUCUCUUGGCUCUC
RNAcentral lists this unclassified non-coding RNA (192 nucleotides) under Rhizophagus sp. (in: glomeromycetes). RNAcentral's name for it is "Rhizophagus sp. (in: Fungi) partial internal transcribed spacer region". The stretch from base 1 to 46 matches the Rfam family "Eukaryotic small subunit ribosomal RNA", at positions 1786 to 1831 of the family's 1831-position model. Lineage: Eukaryota; Fungi; Glomeromycota; Glomeromycetes; Glomerales; Glomeraceae. The record is from RNAcentral.